CAGUAGCCACGGGAAUACGUUGGGUGCGAGCGUUGUCCGGAAUUAUUGGGCGUAAAGGGAGCGCAGGCGGACAUAUAAGUCCAUCUUAAAAGUGCGGGGCUCAACCCCGUGAGGGGAUGGAAACUGUAUGCCUUGAGUGCAGGAGAGGAAAGCGGAAUUCCCAGUGUAGCGGUGAAAUGCGUAGAUAUUGGGAGGAACACCAGUGGCGAAGGCGGCUUUCUGGACUGCAACUGACGCUGAGGCUCGAAAGCCAGGGGAGCGAACGGGAUUAGAGACCCCUGUAGUCCCUGUCUCUUAUACA
RNAcentral lists this ribosomal RNA (301 nucleotides) under uncultured bacterium. RNAcentral describes it as "partial 16S ribosomal RNA". It matches the Rfam family "Bacterial small subunit ribosomal RNA", at positions 509 to 809 of the family's 1533-position model. The record is from RNAcentral.